This 671-nucleotide long non-coding RNA is filed under the name Mus pahari (shrew mouse). RNAcentral describes it as "lncRNA (MGP_PahariEiJ_G0006151.1)". Lineage: Eukaryota; Metazoa; Chordata; Mammalia; Rodentia; Muridae. The record is from RNAcentral.
GGAAAUGACCCCUGCUUUCUUCCUACCAAGUAUCCCUAAAUAAGCCCUGGCAGACUGUCUGAAUACUGCCUUGCCAUUUAUAUUGCUUUAUGGCUAGACCAUUGAAUAAAGCGUACAUUAAUCAUGAUGAUGAUUGGCACCUUGACUGGCUCAGGAACCAACCAAGAGAUGCACUUCUGGAUGUGUCUGUGAGGGUGUUUCUAAGAAGAAUAACUCAGUGUGUGUGGGGGGAGAGCUUCCCAUCGAAGAUGCAGUCCCUUUCAAAGGUGGUUCAGAUAUGAGGAGGUCUGAAGGAAGUGUUGCCUGCCUGCUUGCCCAUUGCCCAUCAGUUCAACCAUGUGGGUCACAUGGGGUUGCUACAGAGUGAAAAGGAGGCAUCUCCUACUGACCCCUGUGCUGUGCACUUGAUGCUCAGCUUUGUGGGACUAUCUUGGGAGGUUCUGGAAACUUCAGACGGUGAGACCUAGUUGGAGGAAGUAGGUAACUGGAAGCGGGCCCUGAAUGGCACUUUGUCCCUGGUCCUGGUCCUUUUCUGUCUGCCUCUUCUUGUGUGUCACAAGUGGAAAACCUCCUCACUAUGAAGUUCUGGGACCAAGCAACUGUGGGCUGAAACCUCUGAAUUCUUGACCUAAAAUAAAACUGUAUCCUCUUGUUCCUAUCAGAUAUUUUGU